GAUGAACGCUGGCGGCGUGCCUAAUACAUGCAAGUCGAGCGAACGGACGAGAAGCUUGCUUCUCUGAUGUUUACGGCGGGCGGGUGAGUAACACGUGGAUAACCUACCUAUAAGACUGGGAUAAAUUCGGGAAACCGGAGCUAAUACCGGAUGAUAUUUUGAACCGCAUGGUUCAAAAGUGAAAAACGGUCUUUCUGUCACUUAUAGAUGGAUCCGCGCUGCAUUAGCUAGUUGGUAAGGUAACGGCUUACCAAGGCAACGAUGCAUAGCCGACCUGAGAGGGUGAUCGGCCACACUGGAACUGAGACACGGUCCAGACCCCUACGGGAGGCAGCAGUAGGGAAUCUUCCGCAAUGGGCGAAAGCCUGACGGAGCAACGCCGCGUGAGUGAUGAAGGUCUUCGGAUCGUAAAACUCUGUUAUUAGGGAAGAACAUAUGUGUAAGUAACUGUGCACAUCUUGACGGUACCUAAUCAGAAAGCCACGGCUAACUACGUG
Molecule: ribosomal RNA, 497 nt
Filed under: uncultured bacterium
Lineage: Bacteria
Description: partial 16S ribosomal RNA
Rfam family: Bacterial small subunit ribosomal RNA
Source: RNAcentral